RNAcentral lists this transfer RNA (74 nucleotides) under Actinomycetota bacterium. Its description in RNAcentral is "tRNA-Leu". It matches the Rfam family "tRNA". From Rfam's summary of the family: Transfer RNA (tRNA) molecules are approximately 80 nucleotides in length. Their secondary structure includes four short double-helical elements and three loops (D, anti-codon, and T loops). Lineage: Bacteria; Bacillati; Actinomycetota. The record is from RNAcentral.
GCCCCUGUACUCCAAUCGGCAGAGAGCGGCCCCUUAAAAGGGUUCCAGUGAGGGUUCGAGUCCCUCCAGGGGCA